This 403-nucleotide ribosomal RNA is filed under the name Verrucomicrobiota bacterium. Its description in RNAcentral is "Verrucomicrobia bacterium partial 16S ribosomal RNA". It matches the Rfam family "Bacterial small subunit ribosomal RNA", at positions 355 to 776 of the family's 1533-position model. The record is from RNAcentral. Lineage: Bacteria; Pseudomonadati; Verrucomicrobiota.
UGGGGAAUAUUGCACAAUGGGGGAAACCCUGAUGCAGCGACGCCGCGUGAGCGAUGAAGGCUUUCGAGUCGUAAAGCUCUGUCCUAUGGGAAGAUAAUGACGGUACCAUAGAAGAAAGCCCCGGCUAAUUACGUGCCAGCAGCCGCGGUAAUACGUAUGGGGCGAGCGUUGUCCGGAAUUAUUGGGCGUAAAGGGUACGUAGGCGGUCUAUUAAGUCAGGUGUGAAAGCGUGAGGCUUAACCUCAUUAAGCACUUGAAACUGAUAGACUUGAGUGAAGGAGAGGAAAGUGGAAUUCCUAGUGUAGCGGUGAAAUGCGUAGAUAUUAGGAGGAAUACCGGUGGCGAAGGCGACUUUCUGGACUUUUACUGACGCUCAGGUACGAAAGCGUGGGGAGCAAACAGG